GGGGAUGUAGCUCAGUGGUAGAGCACUUGUCUAGCAUGUCCAAGGCCCUGGGUUCCAUCCCCA
RNAcentral lists this transfer RNA (63 nucleotides) under Cavia porcellus (domestic guinea pig). It matches the Rfam family "tRNA". From Rfam's summary of the family: Transfer RNA (tRNA) molecules are approximately 80 nucleotides in length. Their secondary structure includes four short double-helical elements and three loops (D, anti-codon, and T loops). Further hydrogen bonds mediate the characteristic L-shaped molecular structure. tRNAs have two regions of fundamental functional importance: the anti-codon, which is responsible for specific mRNA codon recognition, and the 3' end, to which the tRNAs corresponding amino acid is attached (by aminoacyl-tRNA synthetases). tRNAs cope with the degeneracy of the genetic code in two manners: having more than one tRNA (with a specific anti-codon) for a particular amino acid; and 'wobble' base-pairing, i.e. permitting non-standard base-pairing at the 3rd anti-codon position. The record is from Rfam by way of RNAcentral. Lineage: Eukaryota; Metazoa; Chordata; Mammalia; Rodentia; Caviidae.